GUCCCUAUCGUCUAGCCUGGCCUAGGACACCAGAUUUUCAUUCUGGCGACACGGGUUCGAAUCCCGUUAGGGACGCCA
This 78-nucleotide transfer RNA is filed under the name Candidatus Omnitrophota bacterium. Its description in RNAcentral is "tRNA-Glu". It matches the Rfam family "tRNA". Rfam says of the family: Transfer RNA (tRNA) molecules are approximately 80 nucleotides in length. Their secondary structure includes four short double-helical elements and three loops (D, anti-codon, and T loops). The record is from RNAcentral. Lineage: Bacteria; Pseudomonadati; Candidatus Omnitrophota.